GGGCUGGGAAAGGCACAUCUUCUAGCUAAAGACUUCCUUUACCAGAGGUUCUUUCCUGUUGAGAAAAACUGAAAGGUGAUUUAUUAGGCUGUUCAAAAGAACCUCCUGCCCUACCACACCUGCCUCUGAUACUUACAAAUAUGUUCUGAAGUUCAUAGUUAUUUACAGAUUCUCUCCAGAAGAUCUUUUACACGUUAGGUUUUGUAAAAGUAGCCUUGGAAGCUGGACGUGCCAUACAGGGGUUCCGUACUGGUAAACCCAGCCACAAUUCUGAAACUGGAGCCAUACUUUUGUCUGUGAGGAAACCAUUGAAAUAACAAGAAAUAAUACAUACACUGGUGAUUUGUAUGAAAUUAUUCUUGAGUUUAUUAUUUAAUAAAGAAUAUUCAGAAAUAGGCAAGUAAAACAUGUCAUUGAUGUCACAGAUGAAGAAGCUACGUACAUGUGUUAACGGGAUUCAUUCACUGGUUUAUGGACCCAGACUUCUCCUGGGACGCCACAAAUCCACGGGUAUGUAGACUCCUUUCAGUUUGAUAGGAAUGCAGAUUAGUCACCAAAUAUCUGUGAAUAGUCAAGGAUUAUGCAAAUAAUUCUCCUGUGGGCUCACUAAGGGACUCUCUUCUCCAGCAUGUAGCCUAGAAACAUUUUGAGUGGAGACAGCCCAGAGAUUUCAGCAAUGUUGGUUGUGCUUUUGCUGAGCAGACGUUUUUAUGGACACCUGGGCCAUCCUCACUGCACAAAGAAUCUUUGUAAACAUUUCCUCUAGUCAGCACUUUCCCAUUAUAGGAAUGGUUAAAAUUAUCAGGUGUCAUCCCCAAAACAGAUGUUUGUUUCUGCCAAAUUAUUAUAAGAAGCUUCCAUAUUGGAGAUGUUAAAGAAAUACUUGCAACUGAAAUACGUACUCUGCUUGUUAAGCCUUUGCCAAAAUACCCUUUUAUGUUUAGAGAGCUAUUUUGCAUGAAGCUAUUGUCAGCUUGUGUGGGCAGGUCGUUCUCUAAGUGUAGUAUGGAUGCAGUUUGGGGAUUAGAAGAUCUUAAAAUGAUCAUGAGGAUUUAUUUUGAGUUCUGAGUUCUUCAAAAGAAAAAAUAUACAUAAGAGUAUAUUCCUGCCAGGGGCUCCCAGAAACCUGAACGUAGUUCUUGUUUCUUUUGUUUCAAGAAACAAAGCACAAGAUUUGCUUGAAUCCUACACAUGGGAAGUUCUAAAUGUAGUCGUGUUCUUUGGUUAUUUAUAGCGCAUGAGCCUCCACAUACUCUCCCUUCUUAUUAUCUCUCCGCCCCCUCUCCCAGAACCAUGACCCUAUAUUUAGAACUGAAGCGUCAUCUUCUGUGACCACAGCAAGGUUGUGCCUCUGAGAAGGAUUGCAGGUUACAAGGAUAAAUCACCAAAUGGAGAAGAUAUCCAUUUAGGACAUUUUCACCUUCUGGGAGAUAAGACCUCUAUGUAAGAAACCCAAUUAGUAGGCAGGUUCUCUUUUAUAUCAUUUUAUAGAAGAAUGCAUUUUUUAUAAUAACCUGGUAUGCGUUGCAAAAAACACUGCUGUCAUUACAUAUUACUGAGUUUUUGGAGUAGAUCUUUAUUGUUUACACACACACACACACACACACACACAGGUACAUGCAUGUGAAAGGGAUUAUUUGACUGGGUAAAAUUUAAAAUUCUAGUUUAACAACAACAGUAUCAACAAAACUUUUAACCCAGGAAGAUCUUUGAUACCUGCUUUUGAGAAGGGAAGUAAGUCUUUGAAGAUAUAUCAUGGAAUUCCCUCACCAAAAAAAAAAA
This 1782-nucleotide long non-coding RNA is filed under the name Macaca fascicularis (crab-eating macaque). RNAcentral's name for it is "lncRNA (ENSMFAG00000049566.1)". The record is from RNAcentral. Lineage: Eukaryota; Metazoa; Chordata; Mammalia; Primates; Cercopithecidae.